GACGAACGCUGGCGGCGCGCCUAACACAUGCAAGUCGAACGGAGCUGCGAGAAGCUUGCUUUUCUUAGCUUAGUGGCGAACGGGUGAGUAACGCGUGAGUAACCUGCCCUGGAGUGGGGGACAACAGUUGGAAACGACUGCUAAUACCGCAUAAGCCCACGAUCCGGCAUCGGCAUGAGUGAAAAGGAUUUAUUCGAUCUAGGAUGGACUCGCGUCCCAUUAGCUAGUUGGUGAGGUAACGGCCCACCAAGGCGAGAACUGGUAGCCGGACUGGGAGGUUGAGUGGCCACAUUGAGACUGAGAAACGGCCGAGACUCCUACGGGAGGGAGCAGUGGGGGAUAGUGCAAAAUGGGGGAAACCCUGAUGCUGCGCCGCCGCGUGGAGGAAGAAGGUAUUCGGAUUGUAAACUCCUGUCGUGAGGGACGAUAAUGACGGUACCUAACAAGAAAGCACCGGCUAACUACGUG
This 468-nucleotide ribosomal RNA is filed under the name uncultured bacterium. RNAcentral describes it as "partial 16S ribosomal RNA". It matches the Rfam family "Bacterial small subunit ribosomal RNA", at positions 28 to 507 of the family's 1533-position model. The record is from RNAcentral.